GUGAGUGAUGAAGGUUUUCGGAUCGUAAAACUCUGUUGUAAGGGAAGAACACGUACGAGAGGAAAUGCUCGUACCUUGACGGUACCUUACGAGAAAGCCACGGCUAACUACGUGCCAGCAGCCGCGGUAAUACGUAGGUGGCAAGCGUUGUCCGGAAUUAUUGGGCGUAAAGCGCGCGCAGGCGGCCUUUUAAGUCUGAUGUGAAAGCCCCCGGCUCAACCGGGGAGGGCCAUUGGAAACUGGAAGGCUUGAGUACAGAAGAGAAGAGUGGAAUUCCACGUGUAGCGGUGAAAUGCGUAGAGAUGUGGAGGAACACCAGUGGCGAAGGCGACUCUUUGGUCUGUAACUGACGCUGAGGCGCGAAAGCGUGGGGAGCAAACAGGAUUAGAUACCCUGGUAGUCCACGCCGUAAACGAUGAGUGCUAGGUGUUGGGGGGUUUCGCCCCUCAGUGCUGAAGCUAACGCAUUAAGCACUCCGCCUGGGGAGUACGGCCGCAAGGCUGAAACUCAAAGGAAUUGGACGGGGACCCGCACAAGCGGUGGAGCAUGUGGUUUAAUU
RNAcentral lists this ribosomal RNA (559 nucleotides) under Exiguobacterium sp. UST020129-002. RNAcentral's name for it is "bacterial SSU rRNA". It matches the Rfam family "Bacterial small subunit ribosomal RNA", at positions 401 to 951 of the family's 1533-position model. The record is from RNAcentral. Lineage: Bacteria; Bacillati; Bacillota; Bacilli; Caryophanales.